Molecule: long non-coding RNA, 328 nt
Organism: Syngnathus acus (greater pipefish)
Lineage: Eukaryota; Metazoa; Chordata; Actinopteri; Syngnathiformes; Syngnathidae
Exons: 2
Source: RefSeq, a predicted model, not a curated record
UUGGUUUAAUUGCUGUACUGUCAAAGUUACUGACUUUUCAGUUACUUUUUUGCUUGAUUUACAAGAAAAAAAGGCCUCAAUUCAAUUUUCUCUACUCUUAAUUCCACUCUUCUGAGACACUGUUCAUAAUUCCUUGUAUACAAAUUGCAAAGCAGUCUUGUGUUAGGAGGCCGCUGAUUUGAAGACCUGCAUGUUUCCAAGACCAUGGACAGACUCUACACAAAUGACAAUGACAACGUUCAAUAUGCAUGCUCGUGUGACUCGUGCAGAGGGCCCUCAGGAAGACUGCUCUAAUAGCGUUGGUAAAUAAAAAAAAAUAAAAACCUGU